This 37-nucleotide small RNA is filed under the name Romboutsia ilealis. Its description in RNAcentral is "CRISPR spacer". Lineage: Bacteria; Bacillati; Bacillota; Clostridia; Peptostreptococcales; Peptostreptococcaceae. The record is from RNAcentral.
CGGUGUUAAAUUACCUGCUCCGCUUUUACUAAAUACA